AACGAACGCUGGCGGCAUGCCUAACACAUGCAAGUCGAACGAGACCUUCGGGUCUAGUGGCGCACGGGUGCGUAACGCGUGGGAACCUGCCCUUAGGUUCGGAAUAACUCCCCGAAAGGGGUGCUAAUACCGGAUAAUGUCUUCGGACCAAAGAUUUAUCGCCUUUGGAUGGGCCCGCGUUGGAUUAGCUAGUUGGUAGGGUAAAAGCCUACCAAGGCGACGAUCCAUAGCUGGUCUGAGAGGAUGAUCAGCCACACUGGGACUGAGACACGGCCCAGACUCCUACGCGAGGCAGCAGUGGGGAAUAUUGGACAAUGGGCGAAAGCCUGAACCAGCAAUGCCGCGUGAGUGAUGAAGGCCUUAGGGUUGUAAAGCUCUUUUACCCGGGAUGAUAAUGACAGUACCGGGAGAAUAAGCUCCGGCUAACUCCGUG
RNAcentral lists this ribosomal RNA (433 nucleotides) under uncultured bacterium. Its description in RNAcentral is "partial 16S ribosomal RNA". It matches the Rfam family "Bacterial small subunit ribosomal RNA", at positions 29 to 507 of the family's 1533-position model. The record is from RNAcentral.